AAGAAAAAGAAAAUCAUUAAAAAUCAAUUUAGCGGCUAGAAGGUAGCCAAUUUUGAUAAUAUAGAUUUGGUAACAAGAGUAUUGGUCUGCUUAACUGCAUCUGCCAAUAAGAGUUUAUGUGACUUCAACAAUAAAGAACAUUUGGUAAUGAAACAUAACAAAAAGUUCCCAAAUCUUAGAGAUUUUGAGAACCUUUGAGCUAGUUCCUGAACCUGGAGAACAAGCAGAUCAACUGAAUCUUGACUUAACUUAACAUUAAGAUUUAAGAUAUUAUGAAAAAGGCUAAAUAAUGAUUCUGUCCAUACCAGUUCAUGGGAUAUCAGACAUUGGUGGCAAGGAAGACAAAUGAAUCUUUUCUCAUCUUCCCCUGCACAUAGCAGUUUUUGGCAGAACGAAGAAACAUGAACAGGAUGCAAGCAUUCCUUAACAAUUCUUGUGAUGACAUCACAUAGAGGGUUAUUGAUACCGCCAAUUCUCAUUAUAAGUGGAAACAAUAGUGCAUAUUCAGCAGCUCGUUGAUAAAGCUUGCAGUAGUCUAUCGUUGCAGUCACAAGCACACGAGAGGCUGGCUCUUCAAGAAUCAGGAACCUUGGAAGGAUAAUUGAACUAAGAAUUUGGCUUGGCAAAGCAAGCUCAUCUUGAUCAAUUACAUUUGAAAGAUGAGAAAUAAGUAAGGAAGCAAUCUCGUCAUCCGCUUUCCAAGGUUCAAUCAGACCAAGAACUGCAAAAGAAUCCACUCCUUUUUCUAGACAAAGCUGGCAAAUUUCAUUUGCUAAUUGUACUGUUUUAGGUCGAGACUCAAAAUUCAAUACUUGGGCUCUCAAACUAGCUGCCCUGUUUUGAAUUUCCAGUGCCAAAGGAGCAUUCACAGGACGAUCAACCUCCAUUUCCACUACAACUUCCUCCAAACCUCCACCCUCUCCAGCUUCACUCAAUGAAUGUUGUUCAUUUUCAUGACUACCGAAUAAUUCUCUUGAAUUCAAUUCAUCAGGCGACAAAGGCAGCCAAGGGAAAACCGAGUCAUCAGCACUUGCCAUGCUCUUAAGCCAACCUGGCAAUGACUCAAACUCUUCAUCCACUUUCUGUUCUUCAGAAUCCAAACUCAAACCAGAAAUCCAUUGGUAAUUUGACUCGGACACUUCAUCGAGCAGAUGGCGGGCAGACCUCUUGACCCAGAAAUCAACACCCUUAUUGUCUGUCAACAUACUCCUGGCCAACAUAGACAAGUCCCGCUUGCAAAACCUCUCGUGAUCAAAGGCAAGAAAGGAUAGAAUUCUGGACUGCACCAUAUCCGGCAGUGUUUGUAUAAACAUGACCCUCUUUGCGAUUGGAGGAGAUGAGCUACUGAUAAUGGCAUCGAUAGGUUUGGUAAGUAGAGAGAGGAAAGAGCAUGUGGUGAUCGGAUUUGAUGAUGAGGCAUUGAAAGAUUGCUGUAACCACAGAGAUGCUUCGGUUUCAGGCGCUGAGGAGUUGAGAAAAAUGUCAAAGAGGGGAACCCAUUGCUCCAUUUCUGUGCGAUUGUCUUCUCCGUUGCGAAGAAAUGAAAAUUUCGUGAAAUUCUAGCAAGACGCGGGAAAGUAUAACCUAAACCGUUUUGUAUCGAUGAUGAGAAAAUUCUGUAAUUUCAUUUGCUGUGGAGGAUUUUUU
Molecule: unclassified non-coding RNA, 1647 nt
Filed under: Hevea brasiliensis (rubber tree)
Lineage: Eukaryota; Viridiplantae; Streptophyta; Magnoliopsida; Malpighiales; Euphorbiaceae
Source: RNAcentral